AUAAUCUGGUCGCGGAGGACUUUGAACGAUUCCGGUGGAUUGAACGAUUCCGAAGGAGGAGAUGUUAGUCAGUUGAGUAAAAGUUGGCUACUAUCUCGGGAGGUCUAUUGCUGACAAUAAUCUCCGUCUCUUCUCCAUCUAUAAAUGGAGGAACAGGGGAAGGCUUGAGCUUUUACGGAGGAGAAAGUAAAAGCAGAGAAGCAAGAGAGAGGGAAAGAGAGAGCAAGAA
Long non-coding RNA from Syzygium oleosum, 229 nucleotides. RefSeq lists it as uncharacterized. The record is from RefSeq and is a predicted model, not a curated record. The transcript has 2 exons. NCBI's taxonomy places the organism in Eukaryota, Viridiplantae, Streptophyta, Magnoliopsida, Myrtales, Myrtaceae.